AAACUCAUCACAUGCAUUAAUCCAUGAUAAUGGUUUCUCUUCACCACAAUAUGAGUGGCUAAUAUUGCCUACAUAUAUUCCACCACCAAGCAAGGGUACUUCUCCAUGCUUCACAAGUCUUCUCAAUGUACUUCUCCUAUACACCAAUCACAAGAGCAACAAUAUGCAAGGCACAAAACACAGAGUUAACUUAAGAAUAGGAGACAUCGGGCAAGCAAUACCUAGACUCGAGAGAAUAUCUGGUGCUCACGAGGGGUGAGCAACGUGAACAUUCUAUGCUAAACAUUCUUUGUAAUAGUAAUUAGUGGUCGUAACUCAAGAUGCAAGAAGUGUAGAAUUACCCGCUAUAACUCACCGCGAAGCAACCCCAUUAAGCAUCCCUCAGCCGGCUGCAUCGUCUCUAGCGGGCUCAAGUGGCUACUCGGCUUUCUCUAGCUGGCAUCAUGCAUAACCUACGUUACAGGAACAUAUUCGCCUCUCUGCCUGUAAGGGGAGUCCUCAGAACAUCACAGUCGGCUGUAUCUAACCCUUGACACUUUCUCGGCGAUUCUUGAUGCU
RNAcentral lists this long non-coding RNA (558 nucleotides) under Hordeum vulgare. Its description in RNAcentral is "long non-coding RNA (HVUL_LNC017516)". The record is from RNAcentral. Lineage: Eukaryota; Viridiplantae; Streptophyta; Magnoliopsida; Poales; Poaceae.